UCUAUCUGUAAUUUGGUUUUACAACGUCUAAGUGUCAAUGAUGUCUAGAAUUGUUGUAGAUUAAUUAGUUAUUAUGGAUUCAUGGUACCAUGUAGUGGUACAUUGAUUAUCUGGCGUUGAGUAAUUAAUCGAUUUCAGGUUUUGGAUUGGAUAGGGAGCCUCUUUCGGAGUGAACCACAUCAUAAUGCAUCCUACAUAGCUGCCAUGGAUGAAUUACGGAGGUGGGGAGAGCAAGGAGGUUGCUGAUUUUUCGGGAAGCGGUGGCGAUCUGACAUGGAUUACGUGGGAUGAGAAAGAUCAAGCUCGACAAGAAGUUGUGAAUGUGAGGACAGGAGAGGAAGGUGUAGAUGACGGUGCGGGGGUGUGCUUGCUGCUGGCACCUUAUGCGGCUCCUCUACCACCUUGAGUAGAAGGAUCAUCUAUGGAUCAACUGAGGAAGCAUAAAUGAGGAGGUGGUAAGUUUCAGCCAUUUUGUAGAUUUGAUAAAGUUUUAAAAUGUUCCAAGGUGGGAUGACAAAUUUCUGAAGUGGUGGCAAUGCUGAGCAAAUGGCAAGCUGAGACUAUUGCUAGAGUUGCUGAAGUUUCAAAAGGUUGCAAGAUGAGAUGAAAAACUUCUAAAGUGAGGACAAUGCUAUAGAGUUAGGGUGAAUGAGGAGAAUAAAAAAUGAAAGGGAAGUAGGGUUAAGGAUAAAAAUGUUGUUUUCUUUUCUUGGAAGGAGAUGGUGGUAAGGAAUUAUGAGAAAAAUGUGGAGAAUAUGUAUCUUUAUCUUCAUAUGAA
Molecule: long non-coding RNA, 778 nt
Organism: Hordeum vulgare subsp. vulgare (domesticated barley)
Lineage: Eukaryota; Viridiplantae; Streptophyta; Magnoliopsida; Poales; Poaceae
Exons: 4
Source: RefSeq, a predicted model, not a curated record